RNAcentral lists this non-coding RNA (30 nucleotides) under Homo sapiens (human). Lineage: Eukaryota; Metazoa; Chordata; Mammalia; Primates; Hominidae. The record is from RNAcentral.
GGAGAUGGACAAUGACUUAUGGGUGUCAGC